AACCAUAGAAACCUGCGGAGUACCUGCGGAGGGAUCAUUACUGAGUUUUUAACUCUCCAAACCAUGUGAACUUACCACUGUUGCCUCGGUGGAUGGUGCUGCUCCCUCGGGGGUGGUGCUGCCGCCGGUGGACAAACUAAACUCUUGUUAAUUUUUGGCAUUCUGAAUCAAAUCAAGAAAUAAGUUAAAACUUUCAACAACGGAUCU
Molecule: unclassified non-coding RNA, 207 nt
Filed under: soil metagenome
Description: partial contains 5.8S ribosomal RNA, internal transcribed spacer 2, and large subunit ribosomal RNA
Source: RNAcentral